Molecule: ribosomal RNA, 497 nt
Filed under: uncultured bacterium
Lineage: Bacteria
Description: partial 16S ribosomal RNA
Rfam family: Bacterial small subunit ribosomal RNA
Source: RNAcentral
GAUGAACGCUGGCGGCGUGCCUAAUACAUGCAAGUCGAGCGAACAGAUGAGGAGCUUGCUCCUCUGACGUUAGCGGCGGACGGGUGAGUAACACGUGGAUAACCUACCUAUAAGACUGGGAUAACUUCGGGAAACCGGAGCUAAUACCGGAUAAUAUAUUGAACCGCAUGGUUCAAUAGUGAAAGACGGUUUUGCUGUCACUUAUAGAUGGAUCCGCGCCGCAUUAGCUAGUUGGUAAGGUAACGGCUUACCAAGGCGACGAUGCGUAGCCGACCUGAGAGGGUGAUCGGCCACACUGGAACUGAGACACGGUCCAGACUCCUACGGGAGGCAGCAGUAGGGAAUCUUCCGCAAUGGGCGAAAGCUUGACGGAGCAAAGCCGCGUGAGUGAUGAAGGUCUUCGGAUCGUAAAACUCUGUUAUUAGGGAAGAACAAAUGUGUAAGUAACUAUGCACGUCUUGACGGUACCUAAUCAGAAAGCCACGGCUAACUACGUG